RNAcentral lists this long non-coding RNA (200 nucleotides) under Nicotiana benthamiana. RNAcentral describes it as "long non-coding RNA (NBEN_LNC000290)". The record is from RNAcentral. Lineage: Eukaryota; Viridiplantae; Streptophyta; Magnoliopsida; Solanales; Solanaceae.
UCAGGUUUUUCCACCGGGAGUUGGUACCUCCCGAUCUCUUGUUUACUCUGUACACCCUUUUACGUAUUCUAGCUAGCAUCUUGUGUGUGGUUUACUCUAUCGCUAUCUAGCUAGCGUCCUUUAAAGUCCGUGUGUGUCUCUUUUUGCCGUAGUCAGUUGGAGGGAUAGUGGCCGCGGCGGGGGAUGGUACUGUAAGGUCA